CCCUUAGAUGUUCUGGGCUGCACGCGCGCUACACUGGUGCAUCCAACAAGUUUUUUCCUUGUUCGAGAGGACUAGGUAAUCUUAUGAGAAUGCAUCGCGAUGGGGAUAGAUUAUUGCAAUUAUUAACCUUCAACGAGGAAUUCCUAGUAAGCGCGAGUCAUCAGCUCGUGCUGAUUACGUCCCUGCCCUUUGUACACACCGCCCGUCGCUGCAACUGAUUGGGUGACCUGGUGAACAUCUUGGACCGGCCCACUCAAUUUCGAGAGGACUGGAAAAGGCCGUAAAUCAGGUACAUCUAGAAAUUGCAAAAGUCGUAACA
This 319-nucleotide ribosomal RNA is filed under the name uncultured eukaryote. Its description in RNAcentral is "partial 18S ribosomal RNA". It matches the Rfam family "Eukaryotic small subunit ribosomal RNA", at positions 1470 to 1796 of the family's 1831-position model. The record is from RNAcentral.